RNAcentral lists this ribosomal RNA (1333 nucleotides) under Atergatis integerrimus. RNAcentral's name for it is "16S ribosomal RNA". The stretch from base 633 to 1333 matches the Rfam family "Archaeal large subunit ribosomal RNA", at positions 1423 to 2800 of the family's 2987-position model. Lineage: Eukaryota; Metazoa; Arthropoda; Malacostraca; Decapoda; Xanthidae. The record is from RNAcentral.
AUUCCUAUUAUUAUAAGUAUUGUUCUACAAGUUGGAGGAAAUAUUAAAUUAUGAAAAUCAAUUUUAUAAUGAGUAAAGGUUAUUGAAAUUAGAAGGCAUAGAACGAUAGUUAAAAGUACUGUGAAGGAAUGUUGAGAGAAAGUUUAAUAAUAUGAGUAGAAAUUGUAUAAAGAUGUACCUUGUGUAUUAGGGGAGGUCUAAAUUAGCUAAAGAGUGAGUAGAAAUCUCGAAAUAAAAACAGUUAGUUUUAUAAAAGGUUUUUGUUGUAAAAAAAUCUUUAAUAUAAAGUUAAAGAUGAAAUAUCAUACGAGUUUUAUUAUAUCUGGUUUUUUAAGAAAUGAAUUUAAUUCAAAUUUGAGAGGAAAGUAAAUCUCAAGUGAAGGAGUAGAGGGGAAUAGCUUUUUAUUCAAGAAUUUUAAUUAUAAUAGUUAAGUAAUAAUAUAAGUUCUAAAUUAGGCUUAGAAGUAGCUGUAAUAGAAAAGUGUUUAAACUAAGGAGAGAGUGAUAAGUGAUUUAUUUUAGCUUUAGAAAGUAUUAAAAAAUAAGUAUAAAUAUAAGAUAUUUAGAGAUACUGAUUUCAUUAGUAGAGGGUAGUGUUGAAAUGAUGUUUGAAAUAAUAAAUAGUUUUAAAAUAAAAAUAGGUAUUAUGAAGGAACUCGGCAAAUAAUUUCCUUGCCUGUUUAACAAAAACAUGUCCGUUUGGAGGUAAAAAUGGUCUGGCCUGCUCACUGAUAAAGUUAUUUAAGAGCCGCGGUAUAUUGACCGUGCAAAGGUAGCAUAAUCAUUAGGGAUUUAAUUGGAACCUGGUAUGAAGGGUUGGACAAAGGAAAGACUGUCUAUAUAAUAUGAAUUGAAAUUUACUUUUAAGUGAAAAGGCUUAAAUAAAUCAAAGGGACGAUAAGACCCUAUAAAGCUUUAUAAAUAAUUUAAAUUUAAUUAAUUUAAUGAUUAAAGGUUAAGUUUACACUAUUUUAUUUUGUUGGGGUGAUAUGAGUAUAAGUGUUGUUAACUGCUUAAAAAAAAAUUCUAUUAUUAAAGAAUUAAUAAAAUGGAUGAUCCUUUGUAAAGAUUAAAAGACUAAGUUACUUUAGGGAUAACAGCGUUAUUUCUUUUGAGAGUUCAUAUCGAAAAAGAAGAUUGCGACCUCGAUGUUGAAUUAAAAUAUCUAUAUAAUGAAGCCGUUAUAAAAGAGGGUCUGUUCGACCUUUAAAUUUUUACAUGAUUUGAGUUCAGACCGGCGUAAGCCAGGUCGGUUUCUAUCUUUUGAAAAAAAAACAAUUACUUUAGUACGAAAGGAUUAAGUUAAUUUAAAAACUUUAAUUGUAGGUGAAAU